RNAcentral lists this ribosomal RNA (492 nucleotides) under uncultured bacterium. RNAcentral's name for it is "partial 16S ribosomal RNA". It matches the Rfam family "Bacterial small subunit ribosomal RNA", at positions 28 to 507 of the family's 1533-position model. The record is from RNAcentral.
GAUGAACGCUGGCGGCGUGCCUAAUACAUGCAAGUCGAACGGAAACACGAGGAGCUUGCUCUUCUUAGGUUAGCGGCGGACGGGUGAGUAACGCGUAGAUAACCUUCCUUUUAGCCGGGGAUAACUACGGGAAACGAUAGCUAAUACCGCAUAAUACAUCCUACCGCAUGUAGCAUGAGUUAAAGGGGCCUUUGCUGCCCGAUAUAGCCGACGUCGGAUUAGCUAGUUGGUAGGGUAAGGGCCCACCAAGGCGACGAUCCGUAGCUGGUCUGAGAGGAUGAUCGGCCACACUGGAACUGAGACACGGUCCAGACUCCUACGGGAGGCAGCAGUGGGGAAUAUUGGACAAUGGGCGCAAGCCUGAUCCAGCCAUACCGCGUGGGUGAAGAAGGCCUUCGGGUUGUAAAGCCCUUUUGUUGCGAAAGAAAAGCAGCAGAUUAAUACCUCGCUGUUCUGACGGUACCCAAAGAGUAAGCACCGGCUAACUACGUG